This 30-nucleotide non-coding RNA is filed under the name Mus musculus (house mouse). The record is from RNAcentral. Lineage: Eukaryota; Metazoa; Chordata; Mammalia; Rodentia; Muridae.
UGUAAUGCACACUGAAGAUCCCCACCGUAA